GUACUCCUCCCUCCGUCCCAAAAUUCUUGUCUUACGUUUGUCUAGAUACAGAUGCAUCUACUACUAAAACGCGACUUGAUACAUCCGCAUUUAGACAAAUUUAAGACAAGAAUUUUGGGACGGGGGGAGUAGUAC
Non-coding RNA from Triticum urartu, 135 nucleotides. NCBI's taxonomy places the organism in Eukaryota, Viridiplantae, Streptophyta, Magnoliopsida, Poales, Poaceae. The record is from Rfam.